CCCUUAGAUGUUCUGGGCCGCACGCGUGCUACACUGAGUGGAUCAGCGGGUCAGGUUGCGCGAAAGCGUUUCCUAAUCUUUAAAUCCGCUCGUGAUGGGGAUUGACGGUUGCAAUUUUCUGUCAUGAACGAGGAAUACCUUGUAAGCGCGGGUCAUCAUCCCGCGCUGAAUACGUCCCUGCCCUUUGUACACACCGCCCGUCGCUCCUACCGAUUGAGUGGUCCGGUGAGGCUUUGGGAUCUGAGCGGAAAGAGCGUUUCGCUGUUUCUGCUCGGAAAACUCAGUCGAACCUUACCAUUUAGAGGAAGGAGAGGUCGUAACA
This 322-nucleotide ribosomal RNA is filed under the name uncultured eukaryote. RNAcentral's name for it is "partial 18S ribosomal RNA". It matches the Rfam family "Eukaryotic small subunit ribosomal RNA", at positions 1470 to 1796 of the family's 1831-position model. The record is from RNAcentral.